GACGAACGCUGGCGGCGUGCUUAACACAUGCAAGUCGAACGGAAAGGCCUGCUUUCCCUUGUGGAUUGCGGGUACUCGAGUGGCGAACGGGUGAGUAACACGUGAGUGAUCUGCCCCCAACUUGGGUAUAAGCCUGGGAAACUGGGUCUAAUUCCCGAUAGGACUGCAGGGUGGUGCCUGUGGUGGAAAACGAUUUUCUAGUGGUUGGGGAUGAGCUCGCGGCCUAUCAGCUUGUUGGUGGGGUAAUGGCCUACCAAGGCGGCGACGGGUAGCCGGCCUGGGAGGGUGGACCGCCGCAUUGGGACUGAGAUACGGCCCAGACUCCUACGGGCGGCCGCCGUGGGGAAUAUUGCACAAUGGGCGGAAGCCUGAUGCAGCGACGCCGCGUGGGGGAUGACGGCCUUCGGGUUGUAACCUCCUUUCGACCGCGAGGAAGCCACCUGGUUGGAAGGGUGGUGACGGUAGUGGUAGAAGAAGCACCGGCUAACCACGUG
This 494-nucleotide ribosomal RNA is filed under the name uncultured bacterium. Its description in RNAcentral is "partial 16S ribosomal RNA". It matches the Rfam family "Bacterial small subunit ribosomal RNA", at positions 28 to 507 of the family's 1533-position model. The record is from RNAcentral.